UAUAGAAGGAUUGCCUAUUUCUA
This 23-nucleotide non-coding RNA is filed under the name Arabidopsis thaliana (thale cress). The record is from RNAcentral. Lineage: Eukaryota; Viridiplantae; Streptophyta; Magnoliopsida; Brassicales; Brassicaceae.